UCCCUAAAAAAGGGCAGUCUCGCCUGACACUUGUAACAGGCAAUGAGGGUUGCGUUCGUUACCCCACUUAAGGGAACAACUCAAGCCACGAACUGACGACGGCCAUGCAUCACCUGUCCAGCCGCCCGAAGGCGGAUCUAGUUUCCUAGACCCUUCGACUGGAUUUCUAGCCCUGGUAAGGUUCUUCGUUUGUCGACGAAUUGAGCCGCAUGUUCCACCGCUUGUGCAAGUCCCCGUCUAUUCCUUUGAGUUUUAAGCUUGCGCUCGUACUACCCAGGCGGAUGACUUAACGCGUUAGCUUCGCCUCGAAGAGGGUCGAUACUCCUCAAAGCCAGUCAUCAUCGUUUAGGGCGUGGACUAC
RNAcentral lists this unclassified non-coding RNA (361 nucleotides) under uncultured bacterium. Its description in RNAcentral is "contains 16S-23S intergenic spacer region". The record is from RNAcentral.